This 776-nucleotide ribosomal RNA is filed under the name uncultured Neocallimastigales. RNAcentral's name for it is "partial large subunit ribosomal RNA". It matches the Rfam family "Eukaryotic large subunit ribosomal RNA", at positions 23 to 616 of the family's 3401-position model. Lineage: Eukaryota; Fungi; Neocallimastigomycota; Neocallimastigomycetes; Neocallimastigales. The record is from RNAcentral.
AAGAGAGAGACAUGCGCGCAUAUCAAUAAGCGGAGGAAAAGAAACUAACAAGGAUUCCCUUAGUAACGGCGAGUGAAGCGGGAAGAGCUCAAAUUUGAAAUCUUCAAGGGUUUACCUUUACGAAUUGUAGUUUAAAGAAGUGUUUUCUGUUGAGGUUUCGGUAAAAGUUCUUUGGAAUAGGACAUCAUAGAGGGUGAGAAUCCCGUAUUUGACCUUUAUUUUCAACUUUGUGAUACACUUUCAGAGAGUCGGAUUGUUUGGGAAUGCAGUCCAAAAUGGGUGGUAAAUUUCAUCUAAAGCUAAAUAUUGGCGAGAGACCGAUAGCGAACAAGUACCGUGAGGGAAAGAUGAAAAGAACUUUGAAAAGAGAGUUAAACAGUACGAUGAAAUUGUCAAAAGGGAAGCGUUUGACACCAGUGUUGUUUUUCUGAAAAUCAAUUAAAGAACUGUUUAUGCUAAGUUGUUUAGACUUUAUCAGCUAACUGUUUAGUUUUGAGCUUUUCUUUAAUGCACUUUUCAGUUAACAAGUCAACAUCAAUUUCUUUUGCUGUAAAAAAGCUUGAGGAAGGUGGCUUGAGAUUCGUCUUAAGUGUUUAUAGCCUCUUGCCUAUGCAGUCGGAGAGAUUGAGGUCUGCAGCGUAGAUCCUUCGGGGCUAAAUGCAUCUGUGCUAAGUUAUAGCAUUUUAUAGACAACUUGUUGACUAUGAUUUGUCUUGUAGCUUACUCGCUUAUGUUAUUUUACCUACGCUUAGGAUGUUGAGCGCAUGUCUCUCUCU